This 408-nucleotide ribosomal RNA is filed under the name uncultured bacterium. RNAcentral's name for it is "bacterial SSU rRNA". It matches the Rfam family "Bacterial small subunit ribosomal RNA", at positions 354 to 776 of the family's 1533-position model. The record is from RNAcentral.
GUGAGGAAUUUUCCGCAAUGGGCGAAAGCCUGACGGAGCAAUGCCGCGUGAAGGAAGAAGGCUCACGGGUCGUAAACUUCUUUUCUCAGAGAAGAAUAAAUGACGGUAUCUGAGGAAUAAGCAUCGGCUAACUCUGUGCCAGCAGCCGCGGUAAAACAGAGGAUGCAAGCGUUAUCCGGAAUUAUUGGGCGUAAAGUGUCUGUAGGUGGCUUUUCAAGUCCGUCGUCAAAUCCCAGGGCUCAACCCUGGACAGGCGGUGGAAACUACCAAGCUGGAGUACGGUAGAGGCAGAGGGAAUUUCCGGUGGAGCGGUGAAAUGCGCUGAGAUCGGGAAGAACACCAACAGGCGAAAGCACUCUGCUAGGCCGUCACUGACACUCAGAGACGAAAGCUAGGGGAGCGAAUGGG